AAUCUCAUCCGAUGUCAUAGAUUCGUUUGUUUGUAUCAUUGUCAAAAUGUGAUAUAUCGUAUAUCACCAGUUGGAAAAACAGUUGAUUUUUCAGCUGCCGCAAGUUCGUCUUCUCACUGUGAUGUUUUUAGUAAUAGCCUACAGUAAUCGAUAGGACAGAGCACAGAGGUUACGUGAAUUUUCUUAACAAAAGAGCUGCGCUACAAGAUUUAAGGCUGUUGUUUGAAGUGGGAAUUUUUUGUCAAUCAAGAUAGUUGAAGAAAUCAUGUAGCAUUGCUUUAUUGGAUUCGUUUACACUAAUCCUUACGUAUAGGAGAUCAAGCAUGGUAGCUCGCAUACUUAUCGACAACGAACAGGAUGCGGUACAGGAGGCCUCACCUCUGUACAUUUCAGUGUGCCAGACCGAUGAUCCGGUACUCUGGUCAAGUAUGACGAUCGCGCGUAACACGCCGGAUUUUGUUUAUACAUUCAAACUGACAAACUACCAUGUAAUAAUACCUAAGAAGGAAUUUAAUAAAUCUAGUCCGUGUUAACUGA
Molecule: long non-coding RNA, 537 nt
Organism: Neodiprion fabricii
Lineage: Eukaryota; Metazoa; Arthropoda; Insecta; Hymenoptera; Diprionidae
Exons: 2
Source: RefSeq, a predicted model, not a curated record